AAUGAACGUUGGCGGCGUGGAUUAGGCAUGCAAGUCGUGCGAGAUCUUGCAGACGGAAGCUUCGGCCGAAGUCUGCAGGUGAAAGCGGCGAAAGGGAGAGUAACGCGUGGAUACCUACCCCCGGGUCUGGGAUAGCGUCGGGAAACUGGCGGUAAUACCAGAUAAUGUCUCCGGACCAAAGGUGUGAUUCCGUCUGGGGAUGGGUCCGCGUCCUAUUAGCUUGUUGGUGGGGUAACGGCCUACCAAGGCGAAGAUGGGUAGCGGGCGUGAGAGCGUGGCCCGUCUCACUGGGACUGAGACACUGCCCAGACACCUACGGGUGGCUGCAGUCGAGAAUCUUCGGCAAUGGGCGCAAGCCUGACCGAGCGACGCCGCGUGCGGGAUGAAGGCCUUCGGGUUGUAAACCGCUGUCAGGAGGGAGGAAAUGCAUAGGGGUACUCUCCUAUGUUUGACCGAUCUCCAAAGGAAGUGCGGGCUAAGUACGUG
This 486-nucleotide ribosomal RNA is filed under the name uncultured bacterium. RNAcentral's name for it is "bacterial SSU rRNA". It matches the Rfam family "Bacterial small subunit ribosomal RNA", at positions 28 to 507 of the family's 1533-position model. The record is from RNAcentral.